Molecule: ribosomal RNA, 440 nt
Filed under: uncultured bacterium
Lineage: Bacteria
Description: partial 16S ribosomal RNA
Rfam family: Bacterial small subunit ribosomal RNA
Source: RNAcentral
CCUACGGGAGGCAGCAGUGGGGGAUAUUGCUCAAUGGGGGAAACCCUGAUGCAGCGACGCCGCGUGAGGGAUGAAGUAUUUCGGAAUGUAAACCCCUUUCAGUAGGGAAGAAAAUGACGGUACCUGACGAAGAAGCACCGGCUAACUACGUGCCAGCAGCCGCGGUAAUACGUAGGGGGCAAGCGUUAUCCGGAAUCACUGGGUGUAAAGGGCGCGUAGGCGGUAAUGCAAGUCUGGUGUGAAAGCCCGGGGCCCAACCCCGGGACUGCAUUGGAAACUGUGGAUCUGGAGUACAGGAGGGGCAGGCGGAAUUCCUGGUGUAGCGGUGAAAUGCGUAGAUAUCAGGAGGAACACCGACGGCGAAGGCGGCCUGCUGGAACGUAACUGACGUUGAGGCGCGAAAGCGUGGGGAGCAAACAGGAUUAGAUACCCGAGUAGUC